UCGGAAGGGCGGAGGAUCGCUUUCAGCGCAAGUUGGAAGAGGAAAGUCCGAACUCCAUAGGGCGCGAUGCCGCGUAACCUGAAUUAGGUUCAGGAUACACGCGGGCAGUAAUGUCGAGAGACAUUCUGACGGAUAGUGCCACAGAAAAUUAAACCGCCCAGCCCUUCUCAAAGCCGCUAGUUACAGAACGUUCGCACAGGCUGCGAGCGGUAGAGGCCGGGCUGAUACUGGCAGUUUUGGGAAGGGCUGGUGUAAGGGUGAAAAGGUGGGGUAAGAGCCCACCGCCCCAAGAGUAAUCGAGGGGGCACGGAAAACCCCAUCGGGUGCAAGGCCAAAUAGGAAACCGCGGAGCUGCCCGCUCCACGUCCCGUUAAACGGACCGGUUUCGGGUAUUGGCUGCUCAGACAAAUGAUUCUCUCUCCCGCUUUGGCGGGACAGACAAAAUUCGGCUUACAGCUCUUCCGAAAUC
This 469-nucleotide RNase P RNA is filed under the name Pedosphaera sp. Its description in RNAcentral is "RNase P RNA component class A". It matches the Rfam family "Bacterial RNase P class A". Rfam says of the family: Ribonuclease P (RNase P) is a ubiquitous endoribonuclease, found in archaea, bacteria and eukarya as well as chloroplasts and mitochondria. Lineage: Bacteria; Pseudomonadati; Verrucomicrobiota; Pedosphaerae; Pedosphaerales; Pedosphaeraceae. The record is from RNAcentral.